CCGACCUUAGCUCAGUUGGUAGAGCGGAGGACUGUAGUUGGAUUGAACAGGCAUCCUUAGGUCGCUGGUUCGAAUCCGGCAGGUCGGA
Molecule: transfer RNA, 88 nt
Organism: Ananas comosus (pineapple)
Lineage: Eukaryota; Viridiplantae; Streptophyta; Magnoliopsida; Poales; Bromeliaceae
Rfam family: tRNA
About the family: Transfer RNA (tRNA) molecules are approximately 80 nucleotides in length.
Source: Rfam